This is a long non-coding RNA of Orcinus orca (killer whale), 1578 nucleotides long. RefSeq lists it as uncharacterized. The record is from RefSeq and is a predicted model, not a curated record. The transcript has 2 exons. Lineage: Eukaryota; Metazoa; Chordata; Mammalia; Artiodactyla; Delphinidae.
CGCGCCGCCUGGCUCCGCUGCCGCUGCAGGCUGCGGAAGGGAAACUGAGGCUCCGCGGCCCGGGGUGACGCCGGGAUGCCAGCCACCUCGCGGUGCCCCCGCACGUCGGCUCGGUCCCAAGGCCCGGGUGGAGGCGCCCGUCACGGUUGUCCUUCAGCAGCUGCAGCAGUAGCUCCUGCGCCUCGGCCAUGCCCCGGCUCUGCCCGCCGCCGCCGCCGGACCCGCGUCACAAUGGAUGGAGCGCGGGGCGGUUCGGAACCGCUGCUCACGGGCAGCCAUCGGACCGCGCAGGCCGGUGGGUGCUCGCACCUGAAGCAGAAGGCGAGGCUGGCUUGUUCCCGCUCGCUGCCGACGGCACUGCGGACUGAGAAGCCUCCUGUGGGAAAGAGAUCAGGAUCCGUAAACUGGUUCUUAUCUUUGGACCCAAUGAUCCCACUCCUGGGAACUUAAUCUAGGAAGAAAAAAAUAAAAUUCUUAAACCACAACGCGUUAAGUGGGUUCAUUCAGGUGGGUAGUUACAGUCAUCACAAAGAGGACACCACUGUAGUUACUGAAAUGAUAUAUUUUAUGUGGCAUACAUAGAGAUAUGAUGUCUAGUGAAAAAAAGAAUAUGAUUUACUAUGUAUGCUGAAAUAACUAAGAUUGUAAUGUACACGGAUAAGAUCUUUAAAGGAAACAAGAGAAAGACAAGCUAUUUCAUUGGUGAAAUUGCAGGUAAACUUGUCCUUUUAAAGUCGGCUUUCAUUUGGCCAACUUAGACUAUGAAGCUGGAUGCAAAAGUCCUAAAUAAAUUAUUAGCUGACCAAAUCCAAAGGGGUACAUUGAAAAAAAAAAGGUACAUGAAACCAAGAAGACUUUAUUCCAGAGAUUGUUCAAGAUCAGAAAAUUGACGUCAUUCACCACAUGGAUAAAAGAGGGAGAACACCAGCUUCAGUAGAGCAUUUCAGUAGGAGCAGCACGCGGGAUAGAGCUCCUCAUCUGUGGAAAAUUUAAAGAGGGAUCGAAAGGGACUCUAAACUGAUGAAAGCUGCUUAGUAAACACACUCCUUAGGGAGGCAGUAUUAGCAGCCUUCCCGUUAAGAUUUUAAGAGACAAGGAUGACCCUCCUGCUCAGGUCUAACAGUGCUGGAGGACCUACAAGGAAGCAAGAAAAAGAAAUAGGAAAGUCUGAGGAGUCAGCAGAUACAGCUGGGUGCCUACCAUAAAGCUGCCCCUCCUGCACUGCUGGUGGGAAUGUAAAUUAGUGCAGCCAUUUUGGAGAACAGGACGGAGGUUCCUCAUGAAACUAAAGAUAGAGUUGCCGGGACUUCCCUGGUGGCACAGUGGUUAAGAAUCCGCCUGCCGGGCUUCCCUGGUGGCGCAGUGGUUGAGAGUCCGCCUGCCGAUGCAGGGGACACAGGUUCGUGCCCCGGUCCAGGAAGAUCCCACAUGCCACGGAGCGGCUGGGCCCGUGAGCCAUGCCCGCUGAGCCUGUGCGUCCGGAGCCUGUGCUCCACAACGGGAGAGGCCACAACAGUGAGAGGCCCGCGUACCACUAAAAAAAAAAAAAAAAAAAAGAAAAGAAAAAGAAAAAAAGAA